RNAcentral lists this ribosomal RNA (440 nucleotides) under uncultured bacterium. RNAcentral describes it as "bacterial SSU rRNA". It matches the Rfam family "Bacterial small subunit ribosomal RNA", at positions 958 to 1398 of the family's 1533-position model. The record is from RNAcentral.
AACGCGAAGAACCUUACCUGGGCUCGAACGGCUUUGGAUCAUCCUUGGAAACAGGGACUUCUCGCAAGAGACCGGAGUCGAGGUGCUGCAUGGCUGUCGUCAGCUCGUGUCGUGAGGUGUUGGGUUAAGUCCCGCAACGAGCGCAACCCUUACUCAUAGUUGCUACCCGCAAGGGAGAACUCUAUGAGGACUGCUCCGGAUAACGGAGAGGAAGGUGGGGAUGAGGUCAAGUCAGCAUGGCCUUUAUGUCCAGGGCCACACACGUGUUACAAUGCGCGCCACAAAGCGUCGCGAACCCGCGAGGGGGAGCUAAUCGCAAAAAAGCGCGCUCAGUUCGGAUUGCAGUCUGCAACUCGACUGCAUGAAGCCGGAAUCGCUAGUAAUGGCGCAUCAGAACGGCGCCGUGAAUACGUUCCCGGGCCUUGUACACACCGCUAGUC